RNAcentral lists this RNase P RNA (306 nucleotides) under human gut metagenome. Its description in RNAcentral is "Bacterial RNase P class A". It matches the Rfam family "Bacterial RNase P class A", at positions 31 to 358 of the family's 367-position model. From Rfam's summary of the family: Ribonuclease P (RNase P) is a ubiquitous endoribonuclease, found in archaea, bacteria and eukarya as well as chloroplasts and mitochondria. Its best characterised activity is the generation of mature 5'-ends of tRNAs by cleaving the 5'-leader elements of precursor-tRNAs. The record is from RNAcentral.
AAGGCCGUGCGUGAGGAAAGUCCGGGCUUCACAGGGCAGGAUAGCUGCUAACGGCAGCCGUGGGCGACCAUAGGGAAAGUGCAACAGAGAGAUACCGCCGCCCCGUACGGGACGGUAAGGGUGGAAAGGCGAGGUAAGAGCUCACCGGCGCACAGGAGACUGUGCGGCCCUGCAAACCCUAUCCGAAGCAACACCCGGCAGAAACAAUGCGGCGGCCCGUCGCGUUUCGAUGAGGUGGCUUGAGCCGUAUGGCGACAUACGGAUUAGAUAGAUUGUUGUCAACUACAGAACUCGGCUUAUUGUUUG